AUUUAAACUGCUAUCGACAAACUGCAAACAAUUCUUUUUCACCAAGAAGACGUCAUUUCAAUGUCUUUAAAUGGUAAGUUUUUUAUAUUUCUGUUAUAUCUGACUCAGGUGAAGAAAUGACACAUUCAUUUUAGGUGAUUUUAAAAAUAUUUUUUACAGUUUGAACACAGUUGGACAUAUUUCCGGGUUUCCAUAUCUCUUCUUCUUAAGUUUGCAUUAAUGCUCUAGAUCUGAACAAUGACUGAAAAAAAAAUUCAAUUGAACAUUUAACUGAGUAAUUUUAUUUUCUUCAAGGUAAAAGUAUUUGUAAAACCAAAUUUGAAAGUUA
Molecule: long non-coding RNA, 328 nt
Filed under: Mytilus galloprovincialis (Mediterranean mussel)
Lineage: Eukaryota; Metazoa; Mollusca; Bivalvia; Mytilida; Mytilidae
Source: RNAcentral